This 440-nucleotide ribosomal RNA is filed under the name uncultured Glomus. Its description in RNAcentral is "SSU rRNA". It matches the Rfam family "Eukaryotic small subunit ribosomal RNA", at positions 658 to 1098 of the family's 1831-position model. Lineage: Eukaryota; Fungi; Glomeromycota; Glomeromycetes; Glomerales; Glomeraceae. The record is from RNAcentral.
UCGGUCCGCCUAUGGUGUGCACCGGUUGGCUCGUCCCUUCUGCCGGCGAUGCGCUCCUGGCCUUAAUUGGCCGGGUCGUGCCUCCGGCGCUGUUACUUUGAAGAAAUUAGAGUGCUCGAAGCAAGCCUACGCUCUGAAUACAUUAGCAUGGAAUAAUGAAAUAGGACGUUCGAUCUUAUUUUGUUGGUUUCUAAGAUUGACGUAAUGAUUAAUAGGGAUAGUUGGGGGCAUUAGUAUUCAAUUGUCAGAGGUGAAAUUCUUGGAUUUAUUGAAGACUAACUACUGCGAAAGCAAUUGCCAAGGAUGUUUUCAUUAAUCAAGAACGAAAAUUAGGGGAUCGAAGACGAUCAGAUACCGUCGUAGUCUUAACCAUAAACUAUGCCGACUAGGGAUCGGAUGAUGUUAAUUUUUAAUGACUCAUUCGGCGCCUUACGGGAAAC